RNAcentral lists this transfer RNA (69 nucleotides) under Cicadellidae gen. sp. 1 JCX-2018. RNAcentral's name for it is "tRNA-Met". The record is from RNAcentral. Lineage: Eukaryota; Metazoa; Arthropoda; Insecta; Hemiptera; Cicadellidae.
AAAAAGAUAAGCUAAACAAAGCUUUUAGGUUCAUACCCUAAAUAUAGAAAUUUAAAAUUCUUCUUUUUA